This 253-nucleotide ribosomal RNA is filed under the name uncultured bacterium. Its description in RNAcentral is "partial 16S ribosomal RNA". It matches the Rfam family "Bacterial small subunit ribosomal RNA", at positions 524 to 776 of the family's 1533-position model. The record is from RNAcentral.
UACGUAGGGUGCGAGCGUUAAUCGGAAUUACUGGGCGUAAAGCGUGCGCAGGCGGUUUUGUAAGCCAGGUGUGAAAUCCCCGGGCUCAACCUGGGAAUGGCGAUGAAGACUGCAAGGCUAGAAUCUGGCAGAGGGGGGUAGAAUUCCACGUGUAGCAGUGAAAUGCGUAGAGAUGUGGAGGAACACCGAUGGCGAAGGCAGCCCCCUGGGUCAAGAUUGACGCUCAUGCACGAAAGCGUGGGGAGCAAACAGG